Molecule: ribosomal RNA, 383 nt
Filed under: uncultured bacterium
Lineage: Bacteria
Description: bacterial SSU rRNA
Rfam family: Bacterial small subunit ribosomal RNA
Source: RNAcentral
GGCGCCGGGUGCGUNNCGCGUGGGAAUCUGCCCCUGGUUCGGAAUACAGUGAGAAAUGAAGCUAAUACGGAUGAUGACGUAAGUCAAAGAUUAUCGCCGAGGGAUGAGCCGCGUAGGAUUACUAGUUGGUGUGGUAAAGGCGCACCAAGGCGACGAUCCUUAGCUGGUCUGAGAGGAUGAUCAGCCACACUGGGACUGAGACACGGCCCAGACUCCUACGGGAGGCAGCAGUGGGGAAUAUUGGACAAUGGGCGAAAGCCUGAUCCAGCAAUGCCGCGUGAGUGAUGAAGGCCUUAGGGUUGUAAAGCUCUUUUACCCGGGAUGAUAAUGACAGUACCGGGAGAAUAAGCCCCGGCUAACUCCGUGCCAGCAGCCGCGGUAAU